UGUGGUGGCGAUAGCGAGAAGGAUACACCUGUAACCAUGCCGAACACAGAAGUUAAGCUUCUUAGCGCCGAUUGUAGUGAGGG
This 83-nucleotide ribosomal RNA is filed under the name Enterococcus faecium. Lineage: Bacteria; Bacillati; Bacillota; Bacilli; Lactobacillales; Enterococcaceae. RNAcentral also lists the same sequence under 1 other name. The record is from RNAcentral.